RNAcentral lists this ribosomal RNA (495 nucleotides) under uncultured bacterium. RNAcentral describes it as "bacterial SSU rRNA". It matches the Rfam family "Bacterial small subunit ribosomal RNA", at positions 28 to 523 of the family's 1533-position model. The record is from RNAcentral.
GAUGAACGCUAGCGGGAGGCUUAACACAUGCAAGUCGAGGGGUAAAUGGUAGCAAUACUAUGAGACCGGCGAACGGGUGCGUAACGCGUAUGCAACUUACCUUAUGCAGGGGGAUAGCCCGUGGAAACGCGGAUUAAUAUCCCAUAGAUCAGUAAUAUCGCAUGGUAUAACUGGUAAAACUCAGGUGGCAUAAGAUGGGCAUGCGUCUGAUUAGCUAGUUGGUAGGGUAACGGCCUACCAAGGCGACGAUCAGUAGGGGUUCUGAGAGGAUUAACCCCCACACUGGUACUGAGACACGGACCAGACUCCUACGGGAGGCAGCAGUGAGGAAUAUUGGUCAAUGGGCGCAAGCCUGAACCAGCCAUCCCGCGUGAAGGAAGAAGGCCCUACGGGUUGUAAACUUCUUUUCUGUUUGAAGAAUAAGCUCGUCGAGACGAGUGAUGCCGGUAGGACAGGAAUAAGCAUCGGCUAACUCCGUGCCAGCAGCCGCGGUAA